UACUCUUGCCUGGGGACUUCCAUGGACAGAGGAGUCUGGCGGGCUGCAGCCCAUGGGGUCACAAAGAGUCAGACACGACUGAGCGACUGAGGACUCGCAACCAUCCAGCAGAGAUUCAGGCUUUGAAGAAAGGAAACUCUCAUGGUUUGAGCCAAACUGUCCCAAAAUGCAAGGUGGCAUCCUCAGUGAACACCAAGGACAACGCUGCUUUUUAAACAGCAUGGUGGACUGAACCUGACAACAGCCACUGUGAAGCCUGACUGAUUGGAUGUGAGUUAAAACCAAAUUAGGUUGGCUGCUUUUGUUGUUCUUGGCACUAAUCCAUUCCAGAACUCUGAUGGUCAAAAGAAGAUCAGCAACUUAUCUUGCUUGCUCCACUUAAAUUAAGCAAAGGAGAGCUCGCUGGAUGGUUUGGACAUCUUGUAACUCAAGAAGACACAGAGGGAGGUAACAGGUCUUAGUUGCGGGAUGUGGGAUCUUUGAUCAUCA
Molecule: long non-coding RNA, 489 nt
Organism: Capra hircus (goat)
Lineage: Eukaryota; Metazoa; Chordata; Mammalia; Artiodactyla; Bovidae
Exons: 3
Source: RefSeq, a predicted model, not a curated record